UUAAAUAAAGAUCGGCGUUGUUGCUGCCUCUCGUGGUAACGCGUCGGAGUUGGGUCGUCUUAACCUUCGGCUAAGUGACUUAAAAUUUUGCAUGAUUUUCGAACGUAUUUAAAUUGCUUACGUACGUUUGGGAUAUCGAAUGUUUAUUAGGUUCGGUCAUCCUUAUCUGUUAUGACUCGCGCCUAUAAUUUUUUCAUU
RNAcentral lists this unclassified non-coding RNA (198 nucleotides) under uncultured Glomeraceae. RNAcentral describes it as "sequence contains ITS2". Lineage: Eukaryota; Fungi; Glomeromycota; Glomeromycetes; Glomerales; Glomeraceae. The record is from RNAcentral.